GGCGGACGGGUGAGUAACGCGUGGGAAUCUACCCAGUAGUGCGGGACAACUACCGGAAACGGUAGCUAAUACCGCAUACGCCCUAUGGGGGAAAGGCUUCGGCCGCUAUUGGAUGAGCCCGCGUCAGAUUAGCUAGUUGGUAGGGUAAAGGCCUACCAAGGCAACGAUCUGUAGCUGGUCUGAGAGGACGAACAGCCACACUGGGACUGAGACACGGCCCAGACUCCUACGGGAGGCAGCAGUGGGGAAUAUUGGACAAUGGGCGAAAGCCUGAUCCAGCAAUGCCGCGUGUGUGAAGAAGGCCUGCGGGUUGUAAAGCACUUUCAGUUGGGAAGAUGAUGACGUUACCAACAGAAGAAGCACCGGCUAAAUCCGUGCCAGCAGCCGCGGUAAUACGGAUGGUGCGAGCGUUAAUCGGAAUUACUGGGCGUAAAGCGCGC
This 440-nucleotide ribosomal RNA is filed under the name uncultured Gammaproteobacteria bacterium. RNAcentral's name for it is "bacterial SSU rRNA". It matches the Rfam family "Bacterial small subunit ribosomal RNA", at positions 97 to 570 of the family's 1533-position model. The record is from RNAcentral. Lineage: Bacteria; Pseudomonadati; Pseudomonadota; Gammaproteobacteria.